GGUGCCUACGGGGCGCAGCAGUGAGGAAUAUUGGUCAAUGGUCGGGAGACUGAACCAGCCAAGCCGCGUGAGGGAUGAAGGUACAGAGUAUCGUAAACCCCUUUUGUCAGGGAACAAAGGCGGGGACGUGUCCCCGGAUGAGUGUACCUGAAGAAAAAGCAUCGGCUAACUCCGUGCCAGCAGCCGCGGUAAUACGGAGGGUGCGAGCGUUAUCCGGAUUUAUUGGGUUUAAAGGGUGCGCAGGCGGUCUGUUAAGGCAGCGGUCAAAGCCCGGGGCUCAACCCCGGUCCG
This 291-nucleotide ribosomal RNA is filed under the name uncultured bacterium. Its description in RNAcentral is "partial 16S ribosomal RNA". It matches the Rfam family "Bacterial small subunit ribosomal RNA", at positions 333 to 622 of the family's 1533-position model. The record is from RNAcentral.